GACGAACGCUGGCGGCGCGCCUAACACAUGCAAGUCGAACGAGAGAUGAAGAGCUUGCUCUUCAGAUCGAGUGGCGAACGGGUGAGUAACGCGUGAGGAACCUGCCUCAAAGAGGGGGACAACAGUUGGAAACGACUGCUAAUACCGCAUAAGCCCACGGCUCGGCAUCGAGCAGAGGGAAAAGGAGCAAUCCGCUUUGAGAUGGCCUCGCGUCCGAUUAGCUAGUUGGUGAGGUAACGGCCCACCAAGGCGACGAUCAGUAGCCGGUCUGAGAGGAUGAACGGCCACAUUGGGACUGAGAUACGGCCCAGACUCCUACGGGAGGCAGCAGUGGGGAAUAUUGGGCAAUGGGGGAAACCCUGACCCAGCAACGCCGCGUGAAGGAAGAAGGCCU
This 394-nucleotide ribosomal RNA is filed under the name uncultured bacterium. RNAcentral's name for it is "bacterial SSU rRNA". It matches the Rfam family "Bacterial small subunit ribosomal RNA", at positions 28 to 417 of the family's 1533-position model. The record is from RNAcentral.